AAAUGCGAUAAGUAAUGUGAAUUGCAGAAUUCAGUGAAUCAUCGAAUCUUUGAACGCACCUUGCGCUCCUUGGUAUUCCUUGGAGCAUGCCUGUUUGAGUAUCAUGAAAUCUUCAAAGUAAAUCUUUAGUUAACUCAAUUGGUUUCUACUUUGGUAUUGGAGGUCUUUGCAGCUUCACACCUGCUCCUCUUUGUUCAUUAGCUGGAUCUCAGUGUUAUGCUUGGUUCCACUCGGCGUGAUAAGUUAUCUAUCGCUGAGGACACUGUAAAAGGUGGCCAAGGUAAAUGCAGAUGAACCGCUUCUAAUAGUCCAUUGACUUGGACAAUACUUUUAUGAUCUGAUCUCAAAUCAGGUAGGACUACCCGCUGAACUUAAGC
RNAcentral lists this unclassified non-coding RNA (377 nucleotides) under plant metagenome. RNAcentral's name for it is "partial contains 5.8S ribosomal RNA, internal transcribed spacer 2, and large subunit ribosomal RNA". The stretch from base 1 to 104 matches the Rfam family "5.8S ribosomal RNA", at positions 51 to 154 of the family's 154-position model. The record is from RNAcentral.